AUGCUGUGGCAUGCCGCAAAACAACCACAUUUUGCUGCUGUGAUUUGGUCCAUCCUGUGCAUUUCAGUUCCUGGUGAUCUCCAAUGUUUGUCAGCUAAUGCCACCAGGAGGGCUGCCCACCCAAGACUUGUAAUGUGGGCAUCGGUACUGUCCUUUGACAUAUUUGGAAGUCACUGUCGUUUCAACUCCGUCAGGUGCCAGGCCAAGGAUGUUACUCAUCGCUGCUGUGAAGACCUUGCGGAUAAUCUGACACCUAAUAAGGAUCAAGAGAACAACAGAGAUGCUAAGAGGCAACAUUUUGGGUUUAAGGAUAUAAACAACAUGGCUUACGAGGAUUUGGACUGCUGUUAUUUUAGUUCCACUCUUAAAUAUUUUGGUUCUUGA
RNAcentral lists this ribosomal RNA (384 nucleotides) under Triticum aestivum (bread wheat). RNAcentral describes it as "partial small subunit ribosomal RNA". Lineage: Eukaryota; Viridiplantae; Streptophyta; Magnoliopsida; Poales; Poaceae. The record is from RNAcentral.